GCCAGGUGUGGUGGUACACACCUGUAAUCCCAGCAGCUUGGGAGGCUGAGGCAGGAGGAUCACUAGUUCAAAGCCAGCCUCAGCAAUGGCAAGAACUAAACAACUCAGUUAGAUCCUAUCUCUA
Molecule: small RNA, 124 nt
Filed under: Marmota monax (woodchuck)
Lineage: Eukaryota; Metazoa; Chordata; Mammalia; Rodentia; Sciuridae
Source: RNAcentral